RNAcentral lists this long non-coding RNA (2509 nucleotides) under Gallus gallus (chicken). The record is from RNAcentral. Lineage: Eukaryota; Metazoa; Chordata; Aves; Galliformes; Phasianidae.
UAAUUCAGCACGUUCCAGAUUUAUGAAAAUAAUCCAGAAGGCGUAGAUGCUUCCCUGCAGGUGGAUAAUGACAGCGGUACGAUCUGUACUUCCAGAUGUGAGCACAAGCAGGGACCGAGAUGCCGGACGCGUACCGGCAGCAACCGGGACGAAGCUGCACGCGUGCGGGACUCGACCGCGGGCUGCCGCUGCGCCCGCAGGCUGUGUGCCCGUGGCUGCCUCUUAGCGCGGUAGAGGGCUGCGGAUGUAAACCCAGGUGGCUGUGUAAGGACGCUGUCUGUUUUUCCACCUGUUUCAGAUCUGUUCCCGCCCCCCCCCACGCGCACCCCUCUCUCCAGGCGGUGACUGCUGGGGAGAGGACGGGUAAUUUGGGUCAGGGCAUCUGAGGCCGUGCCCCUUGAUAGGCUGAAUCACGUCCAGCAGUGUCAGCUGCCUACUCAUUUGUCAUUGCUGUGUAGGAGUUGUAAUGCUGAGAAACAACGUGACCCGCUGAAUUAACAUCUGCUCCCUGAAGAUUGCUUAACAGAAAAGUUCAGACGUUUUCCCGUUUGAAAUCUCAAGUCUGUUGCCUUAUCACUACAUCACCACGUUACUUCUUUGCUUUAAAUUAAUGAAAGUGCUUCAUAAUGUCCCUCUCAUAUAUACAUAUAUAUAUAUAUAUAUAAAAGGUAUCAUCAAUUUCCAAAUAGAAAAGCAAGGUGUUGGAAUGAUACGUGACUUGUUCCAGGUCACAAAGGGAGAAAACUGCAGAACCGAAAACUGUAAUCCUAAUUUUUUCUCUUCACCACAUAAAUAUCCUUGGUACACUGGAGGUAUUGGUGUAAAACUAAGAAUCACCUCUAUCUGUUAUCUUCAUUCUCUAUUUCCUGUUUAUUUUCUUCACACGGGUGCCAGUGUGUCUGAAAAGUACGACGCCGUGUUCCUUUCUGUGGAUUCAAUUUGUAGGAAAUGACCACUAUAAAUCCCAAUGGAGCAAAGGAAUUACAUCUGUGUUAUUACAGGGACUGUGAAUUGCCUGCACAGAACAACAGAGCUGUGACAAAUACUUAUUUGCAUUACUCCCUCAUUUACUCAUAUGCACCUGUGGAGCCUGGAACAGGCUUAGCAAAGGCCUUUCUGCUGGCAGACUAUGUGCAGUUCUCCAUCUUUCAAACACAUUGAGUUAAGAAUCUGAGAAAAAGAUUGUUUAAUCUCCUACUUAUCAGUGUGUUCUCCAAUAAAAGAAGUAACAUCUAAGGAAUAAAACCAGAAAUAGUAGGAACUGAAGUAGUUUGUUCAGAAAACCUUUCUGCCAGGCCAGGAUUUCUGUCUACAGAUGUGCUUUUUUUUUCAUUCACAAAUACUGUACACAGUGCAAUGGCUGGAGGGUUUUUUGUUUUGUUUUGUUUUUGUUUUGUUUUGCAACACACAUAGGUGUGAAAUUCAUUCUCAGCUUCUUCUAAAGAUGACACAAAAUUCUGGAUAUUACUUUAGAGCAAUGACUUCACGUUGGGACCAUCUAACUGGGGAAAGCAAGAAGAAAAUUCUUUCCCUAACAUCAAGCUGUAUGUGAGACAUUACUGUGAGAGCAGCACACAGUGGCCAAAAUGUAUUUAGGUCUACACAGAGACCAAGAAACAGAAAUCCACCACUACAAUAUUUAAGAAGUAAAAGCGGUAGCAAGAACUGUGAAAUGUUUGCAGGCAGUGUGGUAACUCCUUAAAGAUAUAUCAGAAAUAUGAGAUACACAGAACAAAUGAAUAUCACUUAAAGACAUACUUCUGGAAAGAUCAAAAGGGUCCAGAAUGCUUAAUAACAACUCGGCAGGUUCAAAAUGUUAUUGCAACAAAUGAAUGCUGAAGGGCAGAUUCAGGAGGAAGCAGAAGGCAGCGUUCUUGCAAAUUACAAUUACUAUUCUACUGAAAUAAAGAACCAGAGACCAAGCAGUGAUCCAUGACCAAUGUUGGCGACUAAAAUUAAACUGCCAUGCACAUACAUAAUCACAUGGAAACAACAGGGCGCUCAGUCCAGAGCCCAAAGGAUAAAUGUGAGUAUCAGAGGGAGUGUUGCUCUGUACCUACAAAUGACUCAGGGAGACCUUAAGCAUGUCCAUGAAGCAAAUACAAAUAAAUAGAGCUGAUUGAACAGUAUGAAAAGUUUCUACCCACACACCAAUUAUCAGAAGGCUUGCCAGUAAUAAAGAGGAACCAUACAAAAUGAGCUGAUUCUAAUUUGUGCUUUCUACUACAAAUGUAUCCUCCAAUAAAGUUUACUGAAGUAAGACAUAGGGCAUGCAGCAGAACUUCCAGUGCCAGUUCCCAGUUCCACAAAAUCAAUGGCACACUUCUGGCCAGCUGCUUACUGCCCUUUGGCUGCAAUAACAAUUUGCUUUCUGGCAGUGAGGUGCACCAGUAACUUAUUUUCUACACUAGAUAAAUAAAAUAAGGAUAGAAGAGAAAUGCUUCUUCCAAAUGGAUAAGUCCAAAAUAGCAAAUAAGGGUUUUUCUGCAUGUAAGUUCUCCACUUUGUA